Molecule: RNA transcript, 2079 nt
Organism: Telopea speciosissima
Lineage: Eukaryota; Viridiplantae; Streptophyta; Magnoliopsida; Proteales; Proteaceae
Gene name: fructokinase-like 1, chloroplastic
Exons: 4
Source: RefSeq, a predicted model, not a curated record
UGAUGAAUCAUGGCGGCAUAUCCGUUAUCGAUGUCUUUUCUUACUGUUUCGUAUCUCCAAUCUCCUUUCUCCUUCGUUUUCUCGCCACGGAACUCAGUGACCAUUGGUGUUGUCGGUAACCGAAGAGGAUCCACAGAUGAAGUGUCAGUUACACGACUAUGUGACUGUAAAUCUAGAGGAAUAGAGUCUGUAAGGGCAGUUAUUAAUGGUGAUAAUGGUGCUCCGGAAGAGCCUAAAACCACCCGCAGAGGCAGGAAGAAGGGAACCUCAACUUCAGCUUCCGCCACAGCCCCUACAAGAAAAAGAAGCCGUUCGAUGAAACAAGAAAUUGACAAUGGAGCUGCCGAAGUAAAGGAUACAAAAGAAGAACCGAAGAAAGAAGCAGCAAUUUUAACGGAAGAAAAAGAAGAAGAAGAUGCUUAUGACGAUGGGAUUGAUUCUUACGAUUACCCCCCACUAAUUUGCUGCUUUGGCUCAGCACAGAAAGAGUUUGUACCGACGGUUCGGGUUUCUGAGCAACGGAUGCAUCCUGACAUUUACUCCCAGUGGAAGAUGCUUCAGUGGAAACCUCCGGAGUUCGUCAGGGCCCCUGGUGGAUCCCCUUCGAAUGUUGCCAUAUCGCAUGUCAGACUUGGGGGCCGAGCAGCGUUCAUGGGGAAGGUUGGGAAGGAUGAUUUCGGGGAUGAGUUGGUUUACACCAUGAAUAAGGAAAAGGUUCAGACGCGUGCUGUGAAGUUUGAUCCUAAGGUGAAGACCGCAGCGUCCUAUAUGAAGCUCAAGUUGGAGGACGGGAAGAUGAGGGCGGAAACUGUGAGGGAAUGCGCAGAGGAUUCCUUUCUGAGCUCUGAAAUCGACUUGGCCGUGCUGAAAGAGGCGAGAAUUUUUCAUUUUAAUUCAGAAGUUCUUACAUCGUCAUCUAUGCAGUCUGCCUUGUUUAGAGCCAUUAGAGUGUCAAAAAAAUUUGGGGGACUUAUAUUUUUCGAUUUGAAUUUGCCUUUGCAAUUAUGGAGAUCUCGUGAUGAGACAAGGGAGGUGAUCAAGCAAGCAUGGAACCAGGCUAAUAUCAUUGAGGUAUCAAGGCAAGAGCUAGAGUUUCUUCUCGAUGAAGAUUAUUAUGAGAAGCGAAGAAAUUACAAACCACAAUACUAUGCCGAAACUUUUGAGCAAACAAAGGACCGUCGUGAUUAUUAUCAUUAUACUAAGGAGGAGAUUGCCCCAUUGUGGCAUGAUGGAAUGAAGUUGUUAUUUGUGACUGAUGGAACACUGAGAAUUCAUUACUAUGCUCCAUCAUUUGAUGGAGUGGUGAUUGGGACAGAAGAUGUGCUUAUAACUCCAUUCACUUGCGAUAGAACUGGUUCUGGUGAUGCUGUUGUGGCUGGUAUUUUGAGAAAGCUGACGACCUAUCCACAAAUGUUUGAAGAUCAAGAUGUGCUGCAGAGGCAGCUUCGUUUUGCAAUUGCAGCUGGAAUCAUAUCACAGUGGACAAUUGGUGCUGUUAGAGGUUUUCCAACUGAGAGUGCCACACAAAAUCUGAAAGAGCAGGUUUAUGUACCUUCAUUGUGGUGAGAGUGUCUUUAUGUUAUGAGACAACUGAUGGAUUUUUGGGGUGAUAGAUAGCACUCAUCUGACACUGGAUAUUGCUUGAGAACUGAUUAACUUGGUAGACAUAAUGGAGAUCGUUUAGCUUGGUAGACAUGAUGGAGAUCAUUGGCAUCCUUAAAGAUUGGGUGCUUAAUAAAUUUUGGAAGGACUAGUGAAGCUGGGAAUUGAACAAUGUAGAGUCGUUGGUUGCCUCAUUGGCUUGUUCCUGAGCAGUACAGAAGAAUGCAUUAGGAGUAUCUCUAGUGGGACUGUCUGCAAUGUUGAGGUUGUGAAAAGAGUUUCAGAAACUGGGCUCUAGUGAAGGCAGAGAAGUGCCUUGCAUCAGAUGAGGUGUAGAUCAUUGGGUUUUCGGAGGGGGAAGGAGAAAAGACAACUGGGGGAAAAAAGAGGGAGCAGAAAUUAAAUGUUCGUGGCAUAUAAUGUUCUAUCUUUAAGAUACUCUAUGAUAUGAUUUGCUCAAUGGGUGCUUUCAUAUUC